UACGGAGGGUGCAAACGUUGUUCGGAAUUACUGGGCGUAAAGCGCGUGUAGGCGGCUAAGUAAGUCGGGCGUGAAAUCCCACGGCUCAACCGUGGAAGUGCACUCGAAACUGCAUAGCUAGAGUCCUGGAGAGGAAGGCGGAAUUCUCGGUGUAGAGGUGAAAUUCGUAGAUAUCGAGAGGAACACUGGUGGCGAAGGCGGCCUUCUGGACAGCAACUGACGCUGAGACGCGAAAGCGUGGGGAGCAAACAGG
RNAcentral lists this ribosomal RNA (253 nucleotides) under uncultured bacterium. RNAcentral describes it as "partial 16S ribosomal RNA". It matches the Rfam family "Bacterial small subunit ribosomal RNA", at positions 524 to 776 of the family's 1533-position model. The record is from RNAcentral.